GCCGAGGAACAGGGGCGCCGCCACCAGCCACACCGCCUCCCAAGUUUCCCCUGCGGAUGCCCAGCCCCGGUGGCUCCGCUCCUCCCGGCUCAGAGGGGCCCACAGGGGCCGGAGGAGCGGACUCCCGACAGGGUUCCUAAGCCAGGGGAGAGGACGGGCGCCCCACUCGCUCCGAGGGUCGGUCAACGAUGAAGAGCCGGCGGCGGCGGCGCAGGGAGUACUGCAAGUUCGCGCUGCUGCUGGUGCUGUACACGCUGGUGCUGCUGCUCAUCCCCUCCGUCCUGGACGGCGGCCGCGACGGCGACAAGGGCGCCGGGCCCUGCCCCGGCCUGCACCGCAGCCUCGGGGUGUGGAGCCUGGAGGCGGCGGCGGCGGGAGAGCGCGAGCGGGGCGCGGAGGCGCGGCCGGCCGCCCAGGGGCCCGCGGGCCCGGCCCCCGGUGCGGCGGGCAACCUCAGCGGCGCCGUCGGGGAGACGGUGCCCGGCGAGAAGCAGCACAUCUACGUGCACGCCACCUGGCGCACCGGCUCGUCGUUCCUGGGGGAGCUCUUCAACCAGCACCCGGACGUGUUCUACUUGUACGAGCCCAUGUGGCACCUGUGGCAGGCGCUGUACCCGGGCGACGCCGAGAGCCUGCAGGGCGCGCUGCGCGACAUGCUGCGCUCGCUGUUCCGCUGCGACUUCUCGGUGCUGCGGCUGUACGCGCCUCCGGGGGACCCCGCCGCGCGCGCCGCGGGCGCCGCCAACCUCACCACGGCCGCGCUCUUUCGCUGGCGGACCAACAAGGUCAUCUGCUCGCCGCCCCUGUGCCCCGGCGCGGCCCGGACCCGGGCGGAGGUGGGCCUCGUCGAGGACGCCGCCUGCGAGCGCAGCUGCCCGCCCGUGGCCCUGCGCGCCCUGGAGGCCGAGUGCCGCAAGUACCCGGUGGUGGUCAUCAAGGACGUGCGCCUCCUGGACCUGGGCGUGCUGGUGCCCCUGCUGCGGGACCCGGGCCUCAACCUGAAGGUGGUGCAGCUUUUCCGCGACCCGCGGGCCGUGCACAACUCGCGCCUGAAAUCCCGGCAGGGGCUGCUGCGCGAGAGCAUCCAGGUGCUGCGCACCCGCCAGCGGGGUGAUCGCUUCCCGCGGGUGCUGCUGGCGCCCGGCGUGGGCGCCCGGCCCGGGGGGGGGCCCUCCCGCGCGCUGCCCGCCGCGCCGCGCACCGACUUCUUUCUGACCGGGGCGCUGGAGGUCAUCUGCGAGGCCUGGCUGCGCGACCUGCUGUUCGCGCGCGGGGCGCCCGGCUGGCUGCGGCGCCGCUACCUGCGGCUGCGCUACGAGGACCUGGUGCGGCAGCCGCGCGCCCAGCUCGGGCGCCUGCUGCGCUUCGCCGGCCUCCGCGCCCUGGCCGCGCUCGACGCCUUCGCGCUCAACAUGACGCGGGGCUCGGCCUACGGGGCGGACCGGCCCUUCCACCUGUCGGCGCGCGAUGCCCGCGAGGCGGUGCACGCCUGGCGGGAGCGGCUGAGCCGGGAGCAGGUGCGCCAGGUGGAGGCCGCCUGCGCCCCGGCCAUGCGGCUGCUGGCCUACCCUCGCAGCGGGGAGGAGGGCGACGCCGAGCCCGGCCUGGAUGAGGAGACAUCGAAGGAGGUGGAGGCCGCGGGCGCCACGUAGCCUCCCGGCCGCAGCCCGGGGGGAGAUCCGGGUCAUUUGGAUGUGGUAACCAGCAGCUUGGAAGCAGAGAAAGCAGCCUAACUGAAGGUCUGACACAGAACAUUACAGAGACAUUCAUAAGGUCAGGCAUCAUGAACAGGGCACUCAGCAUGUUGCCCCAGCACUGGAGAAGCCAUGCUGUGGAGGCAAUCUAUUAUGCUGUCAGAGACUGGGACUUGAUUUGGUACCAACUGCUGUGCAAUUCUGGAGAGCAGGAAUAUCAUGAGCGUAUUAAAUAAUGACGGACACAUUGGUUGAAACAAAGUUUCCAGUAAGGAAGUGCAAUGUGGAUAAUCAUGGCAAUAAAAUAGGAAGAGCUUUAGUUCCCAACCCGAACCUGCCUCGGCUGGAGCCAUUUCAACAAGGCGUCCUCACAACAAAGAGAUACGAUUGGUACCAUUUCCCAUCAUCAGGUGUCUGGACAAAAGAUUAAUGUGAAUAAGGGCCAAGCGCGGUCCUGUGUAUCUUGAUUAAAUUACACACUAUUAAAUAAAAGGUCUAGAUGAUAUUGUUUUAAA
This is an RNA transcript of Myotis daubentonii (Daubenton's bat), 2209 nucleotides long. It is a transcript of the gene named carbohydrate sulfotransferase 7, with no coding region annotated. The record is from RefSeq and is a predicted model, not a curated record. NCBI's taxonomy places the organism in Eukaryota, Metazoa, Chordata, Mammalia, Chiroptera, Vespertilionidae.